RNAcentral lists this ribosomal RNA (389 nucleotides) under uncultured cyanobacterium. Its description in RNAcentral is "bacterial SSU rRNA". It matches the Rfam family "Bacterial small subunit ribosomal RNA", at positions 393 to 795 of the family's 1533-position model. Lineage: Bacteria; Bacillati; Cyanobacteriota. The record is from RNAcentral.
GGAACCGCGUGGGGGGAGGAAAGCCUUUGGGUUGUAAACCCCUUUUCUCAGGGAAGAAGAAAGUGACGGUACCUGAGGAAUCAGCCUCGGCUAACUCCGUGCCAGCAGCCGCGGUAAUACGGAGGAGGCAAGCGUUAUCCGGAAUGAUUGGGCGUAAAGCGUUCGUAGGUGGCAAUUCAAGUCUGCUGUCAAAGACAGUAGCUCAACUACUGCAAGGCAGUGGAAACUGAAUAGCUAGAGUGCGGUAGGGGCAGAGGGAAUUCCCGGUGUAGCGGUGAAAUGCGUAGAGAUCGGGAAGAACACCGGUGGCGAAAGCGCUCUGCUGGGCCGCAACUGACACUGAGGGACGAAAGCUAGGGGAGCGAAUGGGAUUAGAUACCCCAGUAGUC